GAUGAACGCUGGCGGCGUGCCUAACACAUGCAAGUCGAACGAAGGUAUAUAUAGGAAGUCUUCGGAUGGAAUAUGUAUAACUUAGUGGCGGACGGGUGAGUAACGCGUAAGUAAUCAACCUGUGACACACGGAUAACUGAUAGAAAUGUCAGCUAAUACGAGAUGAACUGUUUAAAUUGGGAAAUGGAAACAGCAAAGCGAAAGCGGUCACAGACGAGCUUGCGUCUGAUUAGCUAGUUGGUGGGGUAAGAGCCUACCAAGGCAACGAUCAGUAGCCGGCCUGAGAGGGUGAACGGCCACAUUGGAACUGAGACACGGUCCAAACUCCUACGGGAGGCAGCAGUGGGGGAUAUUGCACAAUGGGGGGAACCCUGAUGCAGCAACGCCGCGUGAGUGAAGAAGGCCCUAGGGUCGUAAAGCUCUGUCGUAUGGGAAGAAACAAAUGACUGUACCAUACAAGAAGCCCC
Molecule: ribosomal RNA, 467 nt
Filed under: [Eubacterium] yurii
Lineage: Bacteria; Bacillati; Bacillota; Clostridia; Peptostreptococcales; Filifactoraceae
Description: bacterial SSU rRNA
Rfam family: Bacterial small subunit ribosomal RNA
Source: RNAcentral